CUACGGGUUGCACCAGUGAGGAAUCUUGCGCAAUGGGGGGAACCCUGACGCAGCGACGCCGCGUGUGUGAUGAAGGCCUUCGGGUCGUAAAAUCCUGUCAGAAGGAAAGAAGUGUAUGGUAGCUAAUAUCUGCCAUACUUGACGGUACCUUCAAAGGAAGCACCGGCUAACUCCGUGCCAGCAGCCGCGGUAAUACGGAGGGUGCAAGCGUUGUUCGGAAUUACUGGGCGUAAAGCGCGCGUAGGCGGUUUUAUAAGUCAGAUGUGAAAGUCCACGGCUCAACCAUGGAAGUGCAUUUGAAACUGUAAGACUUGAGUAUUGGAGGGGGUAGUGGAAUUCCCGGUGUAGAGGUGAAAUUCGUAGAUAUCGGGAGGAAUACCGGUGGCGAAGGCGACUAUCUGGCCAAAUACUGACGCUGAGGUGCGAAAGCGUGGGGAGCAAACAGGAUUAAUACCCCUGUAGUC
RNAcentral lists this ribosomal RNA (464 nucleotides) under uncultured bacterium. Its description in RNAcentral is "partial 16S ribosomal RNA". It matches the Rfam family "Bacterial small subunit ribosomal RNA", at positions 339 to 795 of the family's 1533-position model. The record is from RNAcentral.